This 347-nucleotide unclassified non-coding RNA is filed under the name soil metagenome. RNAcentral's name for it is "partial contains 5.8S ribosomal RNA, internal transcribed spacer 2, and large subunit ribosomal RNA". The stretch from base 1 to 120 matches the Rfam family "5.8S ribosomal RNA", at positions 35 to 154 of the family's 154-position model. The record is from RNAcentral.
GAUUAAGAACGUAGCGAAAUGCGAUAAAUAAUGUGAAUUGCAGAAUUCAGUGAAUCAUCGAGUCUUUGAACGCACAUUGCGCCCCCUGGUAUUCCGGGGGGCAUGCCUGUCCGAGCGUCAUUGCUGCCCUCAAGCACGGCUUGUGUGUUGGGCCCCCGUCCCCCCCUCCCGGGGGACGGGCCCGAAAGGCAGCGGCGGCACCGCGUCCGGUCCUCGAGCGUAUGGGGCUUUGUCACCCGCUCUGUAGGCCCGGCCGGCGCCUGCCGACCACCAUCAAUCUUUUUUCAGGUUGACCUCGGAUCAGGUAGGGAUACCCGCUGAACUUAAGCAUAUCAAUAAGCGGAGGA